GUCCACGCCCUAAACGAUGUCGACUAGUUGUUCGGAGGGUAAACCUUUGAGUAACGUAGCUAACGCGUGAAGUCGACCGCCUGGGGAGUACGGCCGCAAGGUUAAACUCAAAGGAAUUGACGGGACCCGCACAAGCGGUGGAUGAUGUGGAUUAAUUCGAUGCAACGCGAAAACCUUACCUACCCUUGACAUGUCAGGAACUUUCCAGAGAUGGAUUUGUGCCCCGAAAGGGAACCUGAACACAGGUGCUGCAUGGCUGUCGU
RNAcentral lists this ribosomal RNA (263 nucleotides) under uncultured bacterium. RNAcentral's name for it is "partial 16S ribosomal RNA". It matches the Rfam family "Bacterial small subunit ribosomal RNA", at positions 793 to 1055 of the family's 1533-position model. The record is from RNAcentral.